GAUGAACGCUGGCGGCGUGCCUAAUACAUGCAAGUCGAGCGAACGGACGAGAAGCUUGCUUCUCUGAUGUUAGCGGCGGACGGGUGAGUAACACGUGGAUAACCUACCUAUAAGACUGGGAUAACUUCGGGAAACCGUAGCUAAUACCGGAUAAUAUUUUGAACCGCAUGGUUCAAAAGUGAAAGACGGUCUUGCUGUCACUUAUAGAUGGAUCCGCGCUGCAUUAGCUAGUUGGUAAGGUAACGGCUUACCAAGGCAACGAUGCAUAGCCGACCUGAGAGGGUGAUCGGCCACACUGGAACUGAGACACGGUCCAGACUCCUACGGGAGGCAGCAGUAGGGAAUCUUCCGCAAUGGGCGAAAGCCUGACGGAGCAACGCCGCGUGAGUGAUGAAGGUCUUCGGAUCGUAAAACUCUGUUAUUAGGGAAGAACAUAUGUGUAAGUAACUGUGCACAUCUUGACGGUACCUAAUCAGAAAGCCACGGCUAACUACGUGCCAGCAGCCGCGGUAAUACGUAGGUGGCAAGCGUUAUCCGGAAUUAUUGGGCGUAAAGCGCGCGUAGGCGGUUUUUUAAGUCUGAUGUGAAAGCCCACGGCUCAACCGUGGAGGGUCAUUGGAAAACUGGAAAACUUGAGUGCAGAAGAGGAAAGUGGAAUUCCAUGUGUAGCGGUGAAAUGCGCAGAGAUAUGGAGGAACACCAGUGGCGAAGGCGACUUUCUGGUCUGUAACUGACGCUGAUGUGCGAAAAGCGUGGGGGAUCAAAACAGG
This 770-nucleotide ribosomal RNA is filed under the name Staphylococcus aureus. RNAcentral's name for it is "bacterial SSU rRNA". It matches the Rfam family "Bacterial small subunit ribosomal RNA", at positions 28 to 776 of the family's 1533-position model. Lineage: Bacteria; Bacillati; Bacillota; Bacilli; Caryophanales; Staphylococcaceae. The record is from RNAcentral.